This 380-nucleotide unclassified non-coding RNA is filed under the name soil metagenome. RNAcentral describes it as "partial contains 5.8S ribosomal RNA, internal transcribed spacer 2, and large subunit ribosomal RNA". The stretch from base 1 to 120 matches the Rfam family "5.8S ribosomal RNA", at positions 35 to 154 of the family's 154-position model. The record is from RNAcentral.
GAUGAAGAACGUAGCGAAAUGCGAUAAGUAAUGUGAAUUGCAGAAUUCAGUGAAUCAUCGAAUCUUUGAACGCACCUUGCACCCUUUGGCAUUCCGAAGGGUAUGCUCGUUUGAGUGUCAUUGUACUCUCACACUUCCAAUUCUUUGGAUUGGGAGCGGUGGACUUGGGUGCUGCUGCUUACCGUGGCUCACCUCAAAUGGAUUCGUGCAACUCCUGGUUGGACAUAGUACGGCGUGAUAAGUGUCUUCGCCGGCACCUCACUAGAGGGUGGCUGACCGGGAGCUCUGUGCUUCAAACCGUCUUCGGACAACAACUGACAACUUGACCUCAAAUCGAGUAGGACCACCCGCUGAACUUAAGCAUAUCAAUAAGCGGAGGA